GGGGAAUCUUGCGCAAUGGGCGAAAGCCUGACGCAGCAACGCCGCGUGGGGGAUGAAGGCUCUCGGGUUGUAAACCCCUUUCAGCAGGGACGAAUCAAGACGGUACCUGCAGAAGAAGCCCCGGCUAACUACGUGCCAGCAGCCGCGGUAACACGUAGGGGGCAAGCGUUGUCCGGAUUUAUUGGGCGUAAAGAGCUCGUAGGUGGCUGAGUAAGUCGGAUGUUAAAUCCCCAGGCUCAACCUGGGACACCACCCGAUACUGCUCUGGCUAGAGUCCGGUAGGGGAGCGUGGAAUUCCUGGUGUAGCGGUGAAAUGCGCAGAUAUCAGGAGGAACACCAGCGGCGAAGGCGGCGCUCUGGGCCGGUACUGACACUGAGGAGCGAAAGCGUGGGUAGCAAACAGGAUUAGAUACCCUGGUAGUCCACGCCGUAAACGUUGGGCACUAGGUGUGGGGUCUAUUCAACGGACUCCGUGCCGUAGCUAACGCAUUAAGUGCCCCGCCUGGGGAGUACGGCCGCAAGGCUA
Molecule: ribosomal RNA, 526 nt
Filed under: uncultured bacterium
Lineage: Bacteria
Description: bacterial SSU rRNA
Rfam family: Bacterial small subunit ribosomal RNA
Source: RNAcentral